UAGCGCUUUUUCUGUGGUCAAAAUACUGUGUAUGACACAGUUCAGUGUUGCAAUGUUUACAGAAGCGCCGAGGUCGUUUCUUCAGUCUUGGGACUUCCAUCUUUCAACUGACAGCACACUGUGUUGAUAUCACACAGAGCUUCCGGCAUCGCGUUUGUUGUUUAUAUCAUACGCAUGCGCGCACGUCUCACAAGAUUUUCCUUAUAUCAAUAACCUCGCAUGUGAUUGGAGGAGCCCGACAGGCUUCUCGCCUUCGUCCAAUCACAUGCGAGGUCAUGGCCACGGCUCACACAGCAGUGUCGACGCGCGUAACAGACGUUUGGUUUGGUGUUUGUAACUCUCCAAGAAGAGAAGACGGGUGCACAAUCCCAAGAUUGCGGAGGCUGUACGGCGUCUCUGAGGCACACUGCAGGCGCUAUGAACCAGAGCAAAGACUAACGUCGCCUCAUAACAAAGCCGUGACCUCCGAUUUGCUUGGGGCU
This is a non-coding RNA of Paramisgurnus dabryanus, 482 nucleotides long. NCBI's taxonomy places the organism in Eukaryota, Metazoa, Chordata, Actinopteri, Cypriniformes, Cobitidae. The record is from RefSeq and is a predicted model, not a curated record.